AGCAGUCGCCGCGGUAAUACGUAGGUGGCAAGCGUUGUCCGGAAUUAUUGGGCGUAAAGGGCUCGCAGGCGGUUUCUUAAAUCUGAUGUGAAAGCCCCCGGCUCAACCGGGGAGGGUCAUUGGAAACUGGGAAACUUGAGUGCAGAAGAGGAGAGAGGAAUUCCACGUGUAGCGGUGAAAUGCGUAGAGAUGUGGAGGAACACCAGUGGCGAAGGCGACUCUCUGGUCUGUAACUGACGCUGAGGAGCGAAAGCGUGGGGAGCGAACAGGAUUAGAUACCCCGGUAGUCCCUGUCUCUUAUAU
This 303-nucleotide ribosomal RNA is filed under the name uncultured bacterium. RNAcentral's name for it is "partial 16S ribosomal RNA". It matches the Rfam family "Bacterial small subunit ribosomal RNA", at positions 507 to 809 of the family's 1533-position model. The record is from RNAcentral.